GCCUUCGUCGUGUAAUGGCCAGCACACUCGGCGCAUAUUCGAUAGGGCCGAGGUUCAAAUCCCAGCAAAGGUA
Molecule: transfer RNA, 73 nt
Filed under: Stegodyphus mimosarum
Lineage: Eukaryota; Metazoa; Arthropoda; Arachnida; Araneae; Eresidae
Rfam family: tRNA
About the family: Transfer RNA (tRNA) molecules are approximately 80 nucleotides in length. Their secondary structure includes four short double-helical elements and three loops (D, anti-codon, and T loops).
Source: Rfam by way of RNAcentral